AAAAAAGAGGAGCAUGCAAACAAUAAACACAGCGAAGGACUUUACGCAAAAUUUUGAAAAAUCCAAAAUCCAAAUUCUUUUAUCCAGUCAUGAAGGACAAUAAAAGAAAUAAAGAUAUAAAGUAACAAGAGAAUCAUAAGUCUUUUCAUUAGUAAUAUUUGUUAAAAAGAAAAUAUCCCAAUAAAUGGUAGACCAUCUGAGGUCUAAAAGACAGUCAUAUGUGCAUUGUGAAGGCAAAUGUAAAAAUGAUGAAAGGCCAUGGAAAAUGGAGUAUUACCGUUCCACAAGCCUAACCAAAAACAACGCAAGAACAAUAAUCACCUAGCCUGUAUUACUAGCUGAAAAAAGAGGAAUGGGGCUGAAAUAAAUUUCAAGAGGAUCAAACAAAUUUUACAGCUUUAUUCAUAAAUCUCCAAGAGCAUAAUACACAGUCCUUAAAAAUAGUGCAUUUCUUCUCUAUGCUUUUAUCCCCUUUUUGGAGGAAAAUAAAUUAAAGUAAUAAGGCACAAGGGUGGACCAAUUUUCCCAAUAUUAUCAACAACAUUGAUGUGAUAAAUCAUCCAGCGCAAUUGAAAUCUACAGAAAACAUAAUAAUAUUCUGAUGCCCCAUAAAAACAGCUCUUAAAUGAUAGACUGAGAAUUUGCAGGAAUUUAUGACCUUAAUUUUAUGAUCUGAAAACAUGCUAGACUAAUAAGAUAGAAUUUUAAGCUUUUCAUUUAAUUCUGUCCUCCCAAACCUCUG
Molecule: unclassified non-coding RNA, 742 nt
Filed under: Hevea brasiliensis (rubber tree)
Lineage: Eukaryota; Viridiplantae; Streptophyta; Magnoliopsida; Malpighiales; Euphorbiaceae
Source: RNAcentral